This 400-nucleotide ribosomal RNA is filed under the name uncultured bacterium. Its description in RNAcentral is "bacterial SSU rRNA". It matches the Rfam family "Bacterial small subunit ribosomal RNA", at positions 62 to 464 of the family's 1533-position model. The record is from RNAcentral.
UCGAGCGGGGUGAUUUAGCUUGCUACAUUACCUAGCGGCGGACGGGUGAGUAAUGCUUAGGAAUCUGCCUAUUAGUGGGGGACAACAUUCCGAAAGGAAUGCUAAUACCGCAUACGCCCUACGGGGGAAAGCAGGGGAUCUUCGGACCUUGCGCUAAUAGAUGAGCCUAAGUCAGAUUAGCUAGUUGGUGGGGUAAAGGCCUACCAAGGCGACGAUCUGUAGCGGGUCUGAGAGGAUGAUCCGCCACACUGGGACUGAGACACGGCCCAGACUCCUACGGGAGGCAGCAGUGGGGAAUAUUGGACAAUGGGCGAAAGCCUGAUCCAGCCAUGCCGCGUGUGUGAAGAAGGCCUUUUGGUUGUAAAGCACUUUAAGCGAGGAGGAGGCUACUUGGAUUAAU